RNAcentral lists this ribosomal RNA (470 nucleotides) under uncultured Anaerolineaceae bacterium. RNAcentral describes it as "bacterial SSU rRNA". It matches the Rfam family "Bacterial small subunit ribosomal RNA", at positions 904 to 1382 of the family's 1533-position model. Lineage: Bacteria; Bacillati; Chloroflexota; Anaerolineae; Anaerolineales; Anaerolineaceae. The record is from RNAcentral.
ACUCAAGGAAUUGACGGGCCCCGCACAAGCAGCGGAGCGUGUGGUUUAAUUCGAUGCUACACGAAGAACCUUACCAGGGUUUGACAUACAAGUAGUAGGGAAAGGAAACUGGACCGACCCUUCGGGGAGCUUGAACAGGUGCUGCAUGGCUGUCGUCAGCUCGUGUCGUGAGAUGUUCGGUUAAGUCCGCUAACGAGCGCAACCCUCGCUGUGUGUUACAAGUGUCACACGGAACUGCCGGUCAUAAACCGGAGGAAGGUGGGGAUGACGUCAAGUCAGCAUGGCCUUUAUAUCCUGGGCUACACACACGCUACAAUGGGAAGGGACAAUAGGUUGCGAAGCCGCGAGGCGGAGCCAAUCCAGCAAAACUUCCCUCAGUUCAGAUUGCAGGCUGCAACUCGCCUGCAUGAAGUUCGGAGUUGCUAAGUAAACGCAGGUCAGCCAUACUGCGUUGAAUACGUUCCGGGCUU